UGGCAAAAACUGACCCAACCCGAUAACCCGACCUGAAACUGACCUGAAAAUUUCGGGUUCGGGUUGAGAUUUUCGACCUGAAAAAAAAAAUGGGUCGACCCAACCCGACCUGAAAAUAUAAUGGGUUAGGUUCAGGUUGACCUUUUGAACCUGAAACUAACCUGAAAUGACCUGAAAUAAAAAUAAGGUUUAGGGCCUUAGACUAAGUUAUCCGGACAACCUAACUUAUAAUAUUGGGCCAAGCCCAAUAACCCUAAGGCUAAAAUAAACAACGUUUUUUACUGCUACUGACCUAGACCUACUGUAUAAUUUACAAUCAAAAGUUCAAAAUCAAAACCCUAGAGACUAGAGAGUAGAGACUUCUCUCCAAAAAAGAAAAACCCUAGUCAGUAAAUCAAAACUCUAAAGAGUAGAGAGUAGAGACCCAUUGAAGAUUUGAAGUUCAAUCAAAACUGGAAUUCGAACUUUGGAAUUCUUCUAAAUCUUCAACAAUUUACAAUCUAUGUGGGAAAGUCAUGGCUCUCAAAGUUGAUGAUACUCCAACUCCAAGUCCACCUGAAAGUGCUGCUCAAAGUCCACAUGUUGAGGCUGCCAUGGGAAAUAGUCAAACCUGAAGAUUUCUAUUUUGAAUGAAUUGAACUAUUUUAUUUUACUUUUUGCAAGAAAUAAUUAAAUCUUGAAUUUAUGUUUUGUAAUCUGAAGUUGGUGGAUAAUUUAUGGUUCUGAAUGUAGAAAGUUGAAACUUUAAUUUUUA
This is a long non-coding RNA of Beta vulgaris subsp. vulgaris (sugar beet), 754 nucleotides long. RefSeq lists it as uncharacterized. The transcript has 2 exons. NCBI's taxonomy places the organism in Eukaryota, Viridiplantae, Streptophyta, Magnoliopsida, Caryophyllales, Amaranthaceae. The record is from RefSeq and is a predicted model, not a curated record.